This 253-nucleotide ribosomal RNA is filed under the name uncultured bacterium. RNAcentral's name for it is "partial 16S ribosomal RNA". It matches the Rfam family "Bacterial small subunit ribosomal RNA", at positions 524 to 776 of the family's 1533-position model. The record is from RNAcentral.
UACGAAGGGAGCUAGCGUUGUUCGGAAUCACUGGGCGUAAAGCGCACGUAGGCGGACGUGUCAGUCAGGGGUGGAAUCCCGGAGCUCAACUUCGGAACUGCCUUUGAUACAGCACGUCUUGAGUCCGGAAGAGGUGGGUGGAAUUCCUAGUGUAGAGGUGAAAUUCGUAGAUAUUAGGAAGAACACCGGUGGCGAAGGCGGCCCACUGGUCCGGUACUGACGCUGAGGUGCGAAAGCGUGGGGAGCAAACAGG